GCCUUGUACACACCGCCCGUCACACCAUGGGAGCCGGUAAUACCCGAAGUCAGUAGCCUAACCGCAAGGGGGGCGCUGCCGAAGGUAGGAUUGGCGACUGGGGUGAAGUCGUAACAAGGUAAC
Molecule: ribosomal RNA, 123 nt
Filed under: uncultured bacterium
Lineage: Bacteria
Description: partial 16S ribosomal RNA
Rfam family: Bacterial small subunit ribosomal RNA
Source: RNAcentral